AUAUUUUCCCAGUGGUUUUUUUCAUUUUUCAUUUUUCGUUUUCACUCUCUUAUAAAUUAAGAACAAACAGGAAAAAAUUAAUGAUUUUCUAUUCAUUUUUACCUUGGCAUCAUGUAGCACAUGGUGUUCCCAAAACAAUUCACGUGCCUUGUCUAUGCUUCCACAUUUUGCAUGCAUGCAUGUUAUAGGGUCGACUCCAUAAUUCCUUCGCUCCCACGAAUGUCGCUGGUUUUCCACACUACAUUUGAGGAACAUGGGCACUUCUGGAGGAGAUUUUGAGGUCAUCUCAUGGUGUGGAUAGUGGGAUGCUUGUAUCAAUGAAGCUGACCAAAAGACCUUCUUCAGAACUCAUCAACCUAUUCAAGCAAUGCUGGGUUCUUUAUUUCCCUUCUUUCUACAUUGUUUUGUUGCUUUUGUGUUUAUAUUUCUAUGAUCAUUGUGAUCUUUUCUCAGCCAUUCCCACGACUUGUGUGGGAUCUAGUGAAAAGUUUGAUCUUUAUAAAUAAAAUAUAUUACAUGCAGAUGUUUUAUUCA
Molecule: long non-coding RNA, 534 nt
Organism: Cryptomeria japonica (Japanese cedar)
Lineage: Eukaryota; Viridiplantae; Streptophyta; Pinopsida; Cupressales; Cupressaceae
Exons: 2
Source: RefSeq, a predicted model, not a curated record